Molecule: ribosomal RNA, 482 nt
Filed under: uncultured bacterium
Lineage: Bacteria
Description: partial 16S ribosomal RNA
Rfam family: Bacterial small subunit ribosomal RNA
Source: RNAcentral
GACGAACGCUGGCGGCGUGCUUAACACAUGCAAGUCGAACGCUGAAGCUCAGCUUGCUGGGUGGAUGAGUGGCGAACGGGUGAGUAACACGUGAGUAACCUGCCCUCUUCUUUGGGAUAACGCCCGGAAACGGGUGCUAAUACUGGAUAUUCACUGAUUCUCGCAUGGGGGUUGGUGGAAAGGUUUUUUCUGGUGGGGGAUGGGCUCGCGGCCUAUCAGCUUGUUGGUGGGGUGAUGGCCUACCAAGGCUUUGACGGGUAGCCGGCCUGAGAGGGUGACCGGUCACAUUGGGACUGAGAUACGGCCCAGACCCCUACGGGAGGCAGCAGUGGGGAAUAUUGCACAAUGGGCGAAAGCCUGAUGCAGCGACGCCGCGUGAGGGAUGGAGGCCUUCGGGUUGUAAACCUCUUUCGCUCAUGGUCAAGCCGCAGCUUUGGGUUGUGGUGAGGGUAGUGGGUAAAGAAGCGCCGGCUAACUACGUG